UAUGGUCCGCCGCGUGCGGGAAAAGGGAACCGUGUGAGAAUCACGGGCUGACGCGCAACUGUAAGCCUCAAGGUAAUGGUUACUGUUUACGGUUUACUGUUUACCAGGUUGCCGCAUGAUGCCAUUGGGUCCGCGAGGGCCUGAGAAGGCGUGGCCGCCGGAGGCAAGCCAGGAGACCUGCCAUAGUCU
RNAcentral lists this non-coding RNA (189 nucleotides) under bovine gut metagenome. The record is from RNAcentral.